GAACAGGAUAGAGGUGCGCCUUUUAAUAGUAAUAUCGUUGAGGUUUUCGGGGCCAUCGAUACGAUAUGAAAGGAAAAGGUGCCGAAGGUAUGGGGACCCUGAAUGACCCAGAGCCUGGAUCGCCGGUUAAUAAUCGUCGGUCUGUCGUCAACAUUAGGUUGAUGGAGAGCUAUCUGUUGC
This 180-nucleotide non-coding RNA is filed under the name Mahella australiensis. Its description in RNAcentral is "Lysine sequence". It matches the Rfam family "Lysine riboswitch aptamer". From Rfam's summary of the family: Riboswitches are metabolite binding domains within certain messenger RNAs that serve as precision sensors for their corresponding targets. Allosteric rearrangement of mRNA structure is mediated by ligand binding, and this results in modulation of gene expression. RNAcentral also lists the same sequence under 1 other name. The record is from RNAcentral. Lineage: Bacteria; Bacillati; Bacillota; Clostridia; Mahellales; Mahellaceae.